CACACGACUCUCGGCAACGGAUAUCUCGGCUCUCGCAUCGAUGAAGAACAUAGCGAAAUGCGAUACCUGGUGUGAAUUGCAGAAUCCCGCGAACCAUCGAGUCUUUGAACGCAAGUUGCGCCCGAGGCCACCCGGCCGAGGGCACGCCUGCCUGGGCGUCACGC
RNAcentral lists this ribosomal RNA (164 nucleotides) under Douglasdeweya deweyi. RNAcentral's name for it is "5.8S ribosomal RNA". It matches the Rfam family "5.8S ribosomal RNA". From Rfam's summary of the family: 5.8S ribosomal RNA (5.8S rRNA) is a component of the large subunit of the eukaryotic ribosome. It is transcribed by RNA polymerase I as part of the 45S precursor that also contains 18S and 28S rRNA. The record is from RNAcentral. Lineage: Eukaryota; Viridiplantae; Streptophyta; Magnoliopsida; Poales; Poaceae.